Molecule: long non-coding RNA, 993 nt
Organism: Rosa rugosa (rugosa rose)
Lineage: Eukaryota; Viridiplantae; Streptophyta; Magnoliopsida; Rosales; Rosaceae
Exons: 3
Source: RefSeq, a predicted model, not a curated record
ACCAAUCCUCACCAAAAUCCAUCCACAAGCUCGCCUCAACUUCCUGAAACUCCCAGAAGCAGCCUCACACGGCGGCGUGGCCCGUAGCAGUGGCUGCAAGUCAAACCCAACCAAGAACGAGACCGGAGCUAUCGAUCAAGAUAUCUCGAGCUGUAGUGCAUCGUUUUGAUUGAUUCUUUUUCCAGUGGGUUCCCCUUGAUGUUAUUAACAACUCUCUAGAAGGCAUCGAGGCCUGAAAUUGAAGCUUUGACGUCGAAAUCGAGCCUUGCCGGAUUCUGCAAAAUUCUGGAAUUUUUUCGACCACCGAAGCUUUCGAUCGGUAUAUCUCGAGCUACAGACCAUAUUUUUCUGUGAUUCUUGAACCAGUGAGUUCUUCUUGAGUUUCUUAACAACUCUUUAGAAGGAAUCGAAGCCUUAAAUUGACGUUUUUACGUCGAAUUGGAGCUCGCCGUUUUCUGCAGUUUCUUGCCGGUUUCUGGAAAAUUCCGGCCACCUUCAUACUGUUCAAGGUGAUCGACGGUUUGAUUUGGCGGACGAUUCGUGAAAUUGUAUUUUGAGCUGUUAAGAAGACGCAGCGGGAAUUUAGAGCGGGUAAUCCUACAGGACAGGAGAACCAGGACGGUGAUCGUGCAGUUAGAGCAAUGGUUAUAGUUUUACAGCAAUUGUAUUAGUGAGGCGAGUUAAGCUCAUUUGAGCAUUACAAUUUGAUUUGGUGGGAGUGUGCUGUAAUAAAUAACUUGAGGAUUUGGGUUAUUGUAAAUUUGAGAGUUGUGAAGUGUGGUUGUUUGUGAGAAAAAAAUUCAGGAUGUUAGUUGUAAUUUGUUAUUAUUCAUGUUUCGGAUUUGAAUUGAUUAUUCAAAAUUCGGGGCGUGACAGUUUGGUAUCAGAGCGUAAGGUACAUAUUUGGUGAUAAUCAGUACCUCCCGAGUGAUGGCCCGUCUGCAGCGGAUCCCCAUCAUAUACUCUUCGGUACUGGUAUAAUCAUUGGGUAUG